Molecule: long non-coding RNA, 1464 nt
Filed under: Sus scrofa (pig)
Lineage: Eukaryota; Metazoa; Chordata; Mammalia; Artiodactyla; Suidae
Description: lncRNA (ENSSSCG00070004957.1)
Source: RNAcentral
CCCGUUUUCCUCCCUGGCACCACCGAGGGGGGCCCGGCCCAGGGCUCUCCAGGAGCCCGCCGUGGGCUGAGUACGGCCGAGGACUGGGCAGGCAGGGCAGCCGGUGGUCGCCGUCCCUCCAGGACACGAGUGCCCCUGCACAGGGGCGGAAGGGGAGGCCCGGGAGCCGGGGAGCCGCGGAGGCCAAGGGCCAGGCCGGCCAGGCCCCAGGGCAGGGCGGGGCGAUCCCAGCGUGCGGCCCUGAGGCACUGUCCCCACACCGCUCCACACUGUCCCGAAGCCCCCGAGCGCCAGCCCGGACCCCCGGGACACGCACACACACACACACACACACACACACACACUCCCCCCGACCCCCCCACACACACACCCCCUCCACCCCUCCGCCCCCACCCCACCCCCCCCCCCCCCCCCCCCGCACCCGGGACACCCCCCCCCACUCCCCUCCCCUCCAGCAACGCGCGGCGCUCCCAUCCCCCGGCAGCCCACCAGGUGGCGCUCGCUCCCACCCGGCCGCCGCGCCGACGCCCGUGACGUCAGCCGCCCGGCUCCAUUUGAGCGCCUCUCGGCAGCCGAGAACUCGGACUUCCCGUGUGGCUCACAACAUAACUACUCGGCGUUGCUUCUACAGUGGCUGUGGCUCGACCCCUAGCCUGGGAACCUCCAUAUGCCGCAGCCCCGCGGCGGCAGAUGGCACUCGUUCUGCCGCUUUUUCCUGGCUGUGUGCGAUGCCAUCGCAUAGAUGUCCCCGGUCUGCGAAGUGCACUCACCUGUCAGUGGACCUUUAGGUGGCUUCCAGAUCUUGGCUCUGGUGAGUAGUGCGGCGACAGACAGAGGGGUGCCCGGGUCUGCUUCCGGGAAAGUUUGGUCCCGGGAAAUGGAGCUGUUUGGAGGCCGGCUUCGGUCUUUGUGUGGGCCGGCCCGUGUAGGGCUGCUUGGCUGAGACUCUGUCGAGGAGGGAGGCCUUCAGCCACCGGGGCCUCACGGGGCCUACCCGUGCGGCACCAUCACAGAGCUCUCCGUCACUGCCCCUUGUGGGGGUGAGGGAAGGGGCGUGUGGGGGGGGGGCGUGUGUGGGGGGGAUGGUGGGCAAGGAGCACACACUUGGGCUUGGCGGGUGGGGGGGGGUGGGGGUGGGGGAAAGGGGCUGCCCUGGGAUGGAUGGGGAUGGGCCCUGGGCUGCUCUGUGGAUGCCACCUGCGCUGUGUGGAAUGGAUGGGCCAGGGGAGCCGCCGGUACAGCGCGGGGAAAUGUCUGCGAGUGGGUCUCUUGACUCUGUCGAGGAGGGAGGCCUUCAGCCACCGGGGCCUCACGGGGCCUACCCGUGCGGCACCAUCACAGAGCUCUCCGUCACUGCCCCUUGUGGGGGUGAGGGAAGGGGCGUGUUUGAGGGGGGUGGGGGGGUGUGCGCGCGCGCGUGCACGCACGCUGGCGGGCGUGGGUGUCCCGGGGCCUGGCCAGCCC